This 351-nucleotide ribosomal RNA is filed under the name uncultured Anaerolineaceae bacterium. Its description in RNAcentral is "bacterial SSU rRNA". It matches the Rfam family "Bacterial small subunit ribosomal RNA", at positions 1013 to 1382 of the family's 1533-position model. The record is from RNAcentral. Lineage: Bacteria; Bacillati; Chloroflexota; Anaerolineae; Anaerolineales; Anaerolineaceae.
GACCUUCGGGAGCUUAUACAGGUGUUGCAUGGCUGUCGUCAGCUCGUGUCGUGAGAUGUUCGGUUAGGUCCGCUAACGAGCGCAACCCUCGCCGUAUGUUACAAGUGUCAUACGGGACUGCCGGUAAAAAGCCGGAGGAAGGUGAGGAUGAUGUCAAGUCAGCAUGGCCUUUAUAUCCAGGGCUACACACACGCUACAAUGGUCUGUACAAUUGGUUGCCAAGCCGCGAGGCGGAGCCAAUCCGUAAAGCAGGCCUCAGUUCAGAUUGCAGUCUGCAACUCGACUGCAUGAAGCCGGAGUUGCUAGUAACCGCAGGUCAGCAAUACUGCGGUGAAUACGUUCCCGGGUCUU